This 253-nucleotide ribosomal RNA is filed under the name uncultured bacterium. RNAcentral describes it as "partial 16S ribosomal RNA". It matches the Rfam family "Bacterial small subunit ribosomal RNA", at positions 524 to 776 of the family's 1533-position model. The record is from RNAcentral.
UACGGGGGGGGCAAGCGUUGUUCGGAAUUACUGGGCGUAAAGGGCGUGUAGGCGGCCUUCUAAGUCGGACGUGAAAUCCCUCGGCUUAACCGAGGAACUGCGUCCGAUACUGAAAGGCUUGAAUCCGGGAGAGGGAUGUGGAAUUCCAGGUGUAGCGGUGAAAUGCGUAGAUAUCUGGAGGAACACCGGUGGCGAAGGCGGCAUCCUGGACCGGCAUUGACGCUGAGGCGCGAAAGCUAGGGGAGCAAACGGG